AAGUUGACCGAAGGUUGAAAUUUUUGCACUUAUCGUUGUUUAUAUGAAAAUAUUUCAAAACUGAUAAAAGCUACAACCAUGGAUUGUUUUUAGUUGUAUUGUGCAUGAAAUUGCGCACAUUUCCAUAUAUAAAACUUUAUGUAACAGCAAAUUUAAAAUAGUGCAAACAUUAGGACAAUUGCACGAAAAAAUUUAUCGGAAGAGUUACCGCACCAACGUAAGGAAAAAGUUUUUUUCAUAAAUUCACCAUAAAUCGAAAUAGUGCUAGAGACGUCCAAUUUGUUGCAAAAUGAAGGCAAAUGAUUAAUAUUACUAGAAUAUAAGAGUUUUAGCUUACAAUUGCAUUUUUCGACCAUUUCGGUAGUCAAAGUUGACCGAAGGUUGAAAUUUUGGCACUUUGUUAUUUAUAUAAAAAUAUUUCAAAACUGAUAAAAGCUACAACCAUGAGUAUUUUUUUGUUGUUUUCUACAUGAAAUUGUGCACAUUUUCAUAGAUAGUACUCCAUGUAAUGGAUAAUUUAAAACGGUGCAAAAAUUAUGUCAAAGUGACAAAAUAAUUUUUGAGAUAUGUCUCUGAUACUUUUUAGAGCGAUAAGAAAUAAAUUCGCGCUUGCGCGCCUGCGUAACAAUUGUAAACAAAACAACACCUUGAUCUGUGAACUCCCAGCAUCCCCCAAGGCGCGUGGUUCAAAAGUUUUCGGCUGGUAGGCCUAUAAGUAUUUUUCCGCAAAUUUAAAAAAAAAAACUUGAGUCGACGUAUAAUACGUCCAAUCGGCAUAUGGGAGACAUUUUGACUCGACGUUUAAUACGUCCAAUCGGCGUAAGAGGGUUAAGAAUGGUGCCUAUCAUCAACGGAUUUCGGCCGUAUUCCUUAGCGAUCACACUCAACCGCAUGCCAGCUUCUUACUUUUUAAUGAUCUCUAUCUUUGUCUCCAUAGAAAACAUCCUUUUCUUUCCGUGAACUUCAGCAACUUUCUCGGGACCCAUGACAUGAUAUAGUACAACGAAAUCACUACACGAAUUUACGUUAACAGACUAAAUCGUAUAUGUGAACGAACGAAUUCCGCGUGCGUACACAAACGCUGGUGCGAAGCAGUGGGCGAAGGACACCUUCAUGUUAGAGCACGAUGGGAGAGAUGCUGACCAAUAAGAGAGCAGGAUCUUAUGGCGGGGGACUAGCAUCAGGGAGGAUGGUGGCGAGUCUACUCAGUUGGUGGCGCGCAAGUUUUAAAAUUGUUAUCGGUGGUCCGGGCGAAUCUCGGGACUUUACAGCAACAACCUUUCAUAACCUGAAUUAUUUUCGAUAUAGAGCCAAAAAAAUCUUCGUAUUUGCUUUUGUAACUUGAAUUUUUUGUAAGCUGGGACUUUCGUAUGUCGAGGUACCACUGUACAACACAAUGUAACCUAUAGUACAGGUAACAUAUUAUGAUAGACGAAUAAAGGCACCUUUCUGGUGUGUGUGUGUGUUGUAAUCUACUAUCUGCCGUAUGUUUAAAAAGUCACAAAAUAUAUUAUACAAAUUUUCCUUACAAGUAGCGUAUGAAAUGAGUGAAAAUUGUUGGAGAGCUAAUAGUGUGAAAGGAAAAUAUGCAUUAAUUUCAGAGCAAAAAGUUAGACUAAGUUGUCUCAAUUUGAUUUAAAUGUUUAUAUCUUUUAUUUACAAUUAUGUAGUACUUAUGUAUUUUAUCGGUGACAUGUAUAUCAGCCAGUUUACAUUGAAAAGAUAUGGUGUAACAUACUAUAUUGUAAAUGUUAUGUACAGUAGUGCUCAAAUCUCAUGCGACAUGAAAAUUUUUGUAUCGUCCAGAUUCUCCGACUCAACCAGACGUGUUAAACUUUUUUUUCUACUGUCAUACAUGUCGAAAAGGUUGCGAAUUCACAGCUAGCCAUAUUUUCCAUAUGGUUAUAUAAAUAUGAUCCCUUUCAUACAUUGGUAUAAUUCGUAAGUGUGAUAAGGUUAGUGGUGCCCCAUCAAUGAAAGCACACUUAACAUGCUUCUCGAACUGGUCAAGAUAAUUACAUCUGCAGCAUUAUGGCAGUAGAUCUAAUAAGUUUAACAGUCAUAACAUUUUCAAAGUAGGAAUAUGAAUUAAAACAAGUUUUCUUUGAAAGUUGAAGUUUUAGGUUGCGUUUAAGCUUCCUGUAUAUUGCCAAAUGUUUUAUAGACCUAAAGAAAUAAUCUAAGCCUUCUGAGAUGUAAUCUGUUACUAAUAUUUUUAUUUGUAGAAAUUACCUGUUCUUUGAGGAAUAAAAGAUGAUGAUUUAGAUUAUAUGAAGAAGAUGGCUAUUAAUCAAAAUAUAAGAGCAGAAAAGGCAGUCUGAUGAUGAGGAUGUGAAAGUUGUCAUAAAACAGAAGCGAAUUUUAGAGAAACGUCUUGUAGGAAUAAAAAGGUUGGAGGACAAAGUGAAAGAGGGGCAUCAUUUAACUAGAGAAGAAAAGAUCAAAAUCGACAGGAGACAAGAGACAGAGGUAGAGCUAGCCACAUUACUGGAGGGAACUGAUUUAGGGAAAUGAAAGAUCAAGCUAAUUGAGACUUCAUGUGAUAAAGGUCUUCAGUUGCUUUCAUUGUACACAUUCCAAAAUUUUAAUAAAUGUACACUCAGUUUUUAUUAUGUGCAAA
Long non-coding RNA from Macrobrachium nipponense, 2620 nucleotides. RefSeq lists it as uncharacterized. Lineage: Eukaryota; Metazoa; Arthropoda; Malacostraca; Decapoda; Palaemonidae. The record is from RefSeq and is a predicted model, not a curated record. The transcript has 2 exons.